RNAcentral lists this ribosomal RNA (318 nucleotides) under Triticum aestivum (bread wheat). RNAcentral's name for it is "partial small subunit ribosomal RNA". Lineage: Eukaryota; Viridiplantae; Streptophyta; Magnoliopsida; Poales; Poaceae. The record is from RNAcentral.
AUGGCCGACGAAAAUACAUGCCAUCUAUGCGGAGCCACGGACACAUGGAGACAUGCGCUGUUGAAUUGCUCGAUGUCAAGGAGUAUCUGGGCUUUAGCUCCAGAUGAAUUUGUUGAAAAGGUGAUAAGGUGCCAGCAUGAUAAUCCGAAGCAGUGGUUGUUUGCUCUACACGAUAUGCUACAAGCUGAAGAGUUCACUCGCCUUGUGGUUACAGCAUGGGCGAUAUGGAGUGCAAGGAGGAAGGCGAUCUAUGAGGACAUUUUCCAGUCUCCAUACUCCACGAACGGCUUCAUCAUGAGUUACUUGUCAGAACUGUAA